RNAcentral lists this ribosomal RNA (364 nucleotides) under uncultured Pelotomaculum sp. RNAcentral describes it as "bacterial SSU rRNA". It matches the Rfam family "Bacterial small subunit ribosomal RNA", at positions 1019 to 1382 of the family's 1533-position model. The record is from RNAcentral. Lineage: Bacteria; Bacillati; Bacillota; Clostridia; Eubacteriales; Desulfotomaculaceae.
UUCGGUACAUCGGUGACAGGUGGUGCAUGGUUGUCGUCAGCUCGUGUCGUGAGAUGUUGGGUUAAGUCCCGCAACGAGCGCAACCCCUACGUUUAGUUGCUAACGCGUGAAGGCGAGCACUCUAGACGAACUGCCGUUGACAAAACGGAGGAAGGUGGGGAUGACGUCAAAUCAUCAUGCCCCUUAUGUUCUGGGCUACACACGUGCUACAAUGGCCGGUACAGACGGACGCAAAGCCGCGAGGUGGAGCAAAUCCUAAAAAGCCGGUCUCAGCUCGGAUUGCAGGCUGCAAUUCGCCUGCAUGAAGUCGGAAUCGCUAGUAAUCGCAGGUCAGCAUACUGCGGUGAAUACGUUCCCGGGCCUU